RNAcentral lists this ribosomal RNA (535 nucleotides) under Platerodrilini gen. sp. UPOL VP0031. Its description in RNAcentral is "eukaryotic LSU rRNA". It matches the Rfam family "Eukaryotic large subunit ribosomal RNA", at positions 741 to 1258 of the family's 3401-position model. Lineage: Eukaryota; Metazoa; Arthropoda; Insecta; Coleoptera; Lycidae. The record is from RNAcentral.
GGGCCGCGUCACGGCGCGGCCCCGCACUCCCGGGGCGUCUUGUUCUCAUUGCGAGAAGAGGCGCACCAAGAGCGUACACGCUGGGACCCGAAAGAUGGUGAACUAUGCCUGGUCAGGACGAAGUCAGGGGAAACCCUGAUGGAGGUCCGAAGCGAUUCUGACGUGCAAAUCGAUCGUCGGAACUGGGUAUAGGGGCGAAAGACUAAUCGAACCGUCUAGUAGCUGGUUCCCUCCGAAGUUUCCCUCAGGAUAGCUGGCACUCGCUUUUGCGAGUCUCAUCUGGUAAAGCGAAUGAUUAGAGGCAUUGGGGUCGAAACGGCCUCAACCUAUUCUCAAACUUUAAAUGGGUGAGAUCUCCGGCUUGCUUGAAACGUGAAGCCGCGAGAUCGGAUCAGAGUGCCAAGUGGGCCAUUUUUGGUAAGCAGAACUGGCGCUGUGGGAUGAACCAAACGCAGAGUUAAAGCUCCAAAAUCGACGCUUAUGGGAUACCAUGAAAGGCGUUGGUAACUUAAGACAGCAGGACGGUGGCCAUGGA